GACGAACGCUGGCGGCGUGCUUAACACAUGCAAGUCGAACGGAAAGGCCCUGCUUUUGUGGGGUGCUCGAGUGGCGAACGGGUGAGUAACACGUGAGUAUCCUGCCCUUGACUUUGGGAUAACUUCAGGAAACUGGGGCUAAUACCGGCUAGGAGCUCCUGCUGCAUGGUGGGGGUUGGAAAGUUUCGGCGGUUGGGGAUGGACUCGCGGCUUAUCAGCUUGUUGGUGGGGUAGUGGCUUACCAAGGCUUUGACGGGUAGCCGGCCUGAGAGGGUGACCGGCGACAUUGGGACUGAGAUACGGCGCAGAGUCCUACGGGAGGCAGCAGUGGGGAGUAUUGCACAAUGGGCGGAAGCCUGAUGCAGCAACGCCGCGUGCGGGAAGACGGCCUUCGGGUUGUAAACCGCUUUCGCCUGUGACGAAGCGUGAGUGACGGUAAUGGGUAAAGAAGCACCGGCUAACUACGUG
RNAcentral lists this ribosomal RNA (468 nucleotides) under uncultured bacterium. Its description in RNAcentral is "partial 16S ribosomal RNA". It matches the Rfam family "Bacterial small subunit ribosomal RNA", at positions 28 to 507 of the family's 1533-position model. The record is from RNAcentral.